GAUGAACGCUGGCGGCGUGCCUAAUACAUGCAAGUCGAGCGAACAGACGAGGAGCUUGCUCCUCUGACGUUAGCGGCGGACGGGUGAGUAGCACGUGGAUAACCUACCUAUAAGACUGGGAUAACUUCGGGAAACCGGAGCUAACACCGGAUAAUAUAUUGAACCGCAUGGUUCAAUAGUGAAAGACGGUUUUGCUGUCACUUAUAGAUGGAUCCGCGCCGCAUUAGCUAGUUGGUAAGGUAACGGCUUACCAAGGCGACGAUGCGUAGCCGACCUGAGAGGGUGAUCGGCCACACUGGAACUGAGACACGGUCCAGACUCCUACGGGAGGCAGCAGUAGGGAAUCUUCCGCAAUGGGCGAAAGCCUGACGGAGCAACGCCGCGUGAGUGAUGAAGGUCUUCGGAUCGUAAAACUCUGUUAUUAGGGAAGAACAAAUGUGUAAGUAACUAUGCACGUCUUGACGGUACCUAAUCAGAAAGCCACGGCUAACUACGUG
This 497-nucleotide ribosomal RNA is filed under the name uncultured bacterium. RNAcentral describes it as "partial 16S ribosomal RNA". It matches the Rfam family "Bacterial small subunit ribosomal RNA", at positions 28 to 507 of the family's 1533-position model. The record is from RNAcentral.